This is a long non-coding RNA of Herpailurus yagouaroundi (jaguarundi), 934 nucleotides long. RefSeq lists it as uncharacterized. Lineage: Eukaryota; Metazoa; Chordata; Mammalia; Carnivora; Felidae. The transcript is spliced from 2 exons. The record is from RefSeq and is a predicted model, not a curated record.
CCUCCCGUUCCAGUCUCAAUCUGCAAACGUGUAUGGCAACAAGUGUUGGCAAGGAUGUGAGAAAUUGGAGCCCCUACCCCUCCUUUCAUUGCUGGUGGGAAUAUAAAAUGGUACAGCUGCUGUGAAAAAGAGAAUGGUUCCGAAGAAUACCAAGAGGGUGGGUCCUGAAUACCUGCGGUUCUCAUCUGGCCCCAUAGCCUCUCACCCCUUCCUCAGGCCAGUGACAGACACCCGCUCUCUGACCCAGCACAGACACCAUCACAACUGGUCUCCUUCCUACACUUAGGGAUGUGACAGGAGGCAGUGGGACCGACUGCUGACUGAAGGUGGACUUUAGACCCUAGGCAGCCCACCAUGGGAGUGCUCUCUGCUGUCAGCUGUUGGCAUCACACCUCAGAAGCCAGCUCCAGAGCCAGCUCUAGCUUCCAGAAGGGCAUCUGAGGUAUAUGGGACAGAUCUCCCAAUGCCCGGAUGCUGGCCGCAAAUGCUAACUGAGGUAAUCGUAGGUCAAAAGUAUGCUGUUGGGUUUUCACAGUGGUGAUGGAUGGAUUGACAGGUAUAUAGUCAAAAUGAGAUUUUACAUAAAAAUCUGGUUUGCUGAUUUCUCUUGAAAAAUCUGAGGACCUUGCAAUAAGUGGCCUGCACUCUGACAUGCCAAGAACUGGCUGAAGCUUGGGCUUCAAACCUUUUCCUUGGGCACAAAUUAUACUCUAGCACAUUCCCUGGAAAAAAAAUCACCUUAAAGGUGAUAGAUGCACUUACAAAAGAGAUCGCCUUUCUCAGGAAAAAAAAAUUGUUCUUUCCUGCAAAAUGAAAAAUGCAGCAUCAGUCUAACCAGGACCCUCUGUGCGUCUAGAAACAAACCCAAGGCAUGGCAAGCUGGGAGAAACUGAAAAAAAUUACACUAAAAUAAUAAAAAUGUCUGUGUCCUUAA